GGGGAUGUGGCUUAGUGGUAGAGCAUUUGCCUGGCAUACAUGAGGCCCUGGGUUUGAUUCCCAGCACUGCAA
This 72-nucleotide transfer RNA is filed under the name Marmota marmota marmota (Alpine marmot). It matches the Rfam family "tRNA". Rfam says of the family: Transfer RNA (tRNA) molecules are approximately 80 nucleotides in length. Their secondary structure includes four short double-helical elements and three loops (D, anti-codon, and T loops). Lineage: Eukaryota; Metazoa; Chordata; Mammalia; Rodentia; Sciuridae. The record is from Rfam by way of RNAcentral. RNAcentral also lists the same sequence under 3 other names.